This is a long non-coding RNA of Gadus morhua (Atlantic cod), 1692 nucleotides long. Lineage: Eukaryota; Metazoa; Chordata; Actinopteri; Gadiformes; Gadidae. The record is from Ensembl.
AGAAGAUGAAGAAUAAAUUAAUUAAAAAUGAUAAUAAUAAUAAUAAGAAGAUGAAGAAUAAAUUAAUUAAAAAUGAAUUAAAAUCCGAGUCGGUGUGCAGGCGGAAGGCGGGUCACUCCAGGCUGCUGCAGUCGUCACUGUCGCUGCUAGUUGUAUCAUGAUCCAGGAUGACCGGGGAAGGACUCGGAGGAGGAAGACUGAACUGCUGGGGACCUGGAAUGUAGAAGAUCAUCGUUAAGCGUACAAUUUGGUGACAUGGGUAAAGCUCCAUGAAACUGUAAAAGGUUCAGCACAUCCCUCUUGCCCCUCAAACGCUUCAAGAGAAAGAGCAAUUGAAUUUCAGCGCGAAGUGGUUGGUGAGGAUGUGGCGAAGGAUUCUUCCGAACCGCGUCACCAGGAUUGCAGCCCCCAAGCGCACUAAGGUGUGCUGCCUGCAGAUAGAGUGUCUGCUGCUGCUGUCGUUUUUUGCCUAGUAAGGGCCUGGAGGAGGAGGUUGUUCUGCCUCACCAAGGCCUUCAACUCCUCCACAGCACGCAGGAGUGCAUGAUCCCGUUCUACAGGACAGAAAAACAUCAUGACUGUCAUGUCAAGAGGUGCUCCUGGUUUGGGCUUUUUUCAGGUUCAUACGCGCUGCAUCAUAAUUGGCUGUUGAAGACAACAAUGAAGUCUCAUCUGGCAUAGCGCUUUGGAUGACUGCAAUUUUCGUCCGCUUGGUGUCUUUAUACGGUGGCCAAAAAGACACCUUGUCAGCUCAAACUUAGCCACGAGCAAGGCACAACCUCCACCUCAUUUGACUCGGUUCCCAACCACAGCUGUCCCCAGUGCAGUUGAAUCAACAGGGUGGUUGAAAAAUGGACGUUGAAUCUGUCCCUCCUCUGAAUCUGAGCCAUUGCUAGAGCUCGACAAAUCAUUGAACUCCCAGUCAUCCUCGCCAGAGGAGGCGCUCUCCUCUGAUGCCAUUACCCAAUCCCCAUCUCCGCUUUCGUCGUCGUUUUCUAUUUCUGUGUAAGCUGGGACACUUGGUGGUGUGUCUAAUGUGUCUGCGCCAGCGGCCAGGUUAAAUUCCCAUCUCUCAGACUUACCUGAUCCUCCAUCCAAACUCUGAUGUUGGAAUCCAUGCUGUCCAGUCCAUGUGAAGAGCACAGGAAGCACACUUAAUAGUAGGGUAUCACCAUAUGUCUGGUUGAGCUCCACAAAAGAUCUCGUCUGGCUCAGCUGUUUGAAGCGCAUCUACCUAAAUGUGUCAUUGUAAGGUGGUCUCCCUCUCUCCCUCCCCACCUCCCUCUCUCCCUCCCCACCUCCCUCUCUCCCUCCCUCCCUUAUCACUCCUAGGCACACCAGGUGCAAAGUCCAGCACAAAUUGGGUCACCAAGCCUACAUCUAGGUGUUGUAAUGGACUGUCCGCUUUUAAAGCCUAAGGGGAGAAAAGUGACCUGGGCCCUCUUGCAUGCACCUUUCGCAGUGGUAAUAGGAAUUGUGUGCUUUUAUUUUUUUUUAGAAAUGCCCAUGCCUGUGCAUCACAGACAAAACAGGAAAUUUCGAUUUUACUUAGAACAGUAACCCGGCUUGCGGAGGUACCUUCCCUUACACCCAAACUCCUUUUCUGUACAUAGUUUCUCAUUUAUUUAUUUUGUCUGUUCAGUCAAAUUGCAAAGAUUGUAUUUAUAUAUUGCAUUUCAUUUUCAUCAGUUU